UUGAAAGGGAAACGAUUGAAGUCAGUCGUACCUGUGGGUAUCAGCCUUUUGGGUGUGAUUUUGUGGAGUGUGAGGAGUUAAACGCCUUCAUGCCUGCAUAUUCGUGCACUUUGGGUGUAUUUACCCGUGUGGUAAGUUAACAUCAAUUUCGGUGGUCAUAAAAUGGCUGGAGGAAUGUAGCUUUGAUCUCGUAUUGAAGUGUUAUAGCCUUCGGUAGAUGUGAUAAUCGGGAUUGAGGAUUGCAACGGAUACCCUUCGGGGCUACCUGUCUGAUCUCUGAUCGUUGCUCUGGUGCCGAAAGCUUGCUUACGGUUAUCAAAGUCGAUGGUCAAUAGGUUAGAAUGGGUUAAAUUCGUUAAGGAUGUUGACGUA
Molecule: ribosomal RNA, 372 nt
Filed under: uncultured Glomeromycotina
Lineage: Eukaryota; Fungi; Glomeromycota
Description: LSU rRNA
Source: RNAcentral